This 418-nucleotide long non-coding RNA is filed under the name Malus domestica (apple). RNAcentral describes it as "long non-coding RNA (MDOM_LNC003831)". Lineage: Eukaryota; Viridiplantae; Streptophyta; Magnoliopsida; Rosales; Rosaceae. The record is from RNAcentral.
UGGCUUUGUGGGCAUACUUCCAACAAUCUCCCACUUGCACUCAAAGCCAUCUUCCCAUGUAUCUAAUACCCAUUUUAUCCAUAUGACGAUCAAGCUGAAUUUGAGACAUUGGCUUUGUCAGUGGAUCUGCUACGUUAUCGGCUGAGGCAUCAAGGUGCUCUUUCGCCACUCGUUUGGCAUCUUCUUCAUUUUCAAAAUCCUAUUGAAAAGGUCAGUGAGCCAUGCUAUACCUGUCUCUCCCAAGGCUUUCCACACUUCAAUCGGUAUAUCGUCUGGGCCCACUGUUUUUCUAUGCUUCAUCUUCUUCAAAGCUACAACCACUUCUUCCUUCCUGAUUCGACGAUAAAAAGAGUAGUUUCUACACUCUUCUGAGUUACUCAACUCCCCUAAAGGAGUACUCCUUUCAUGUCCUUCAUUG